RNAcentral lists this ribosomal RNA (253 nucleotides) under uncultured bacterium. RNAcentral describes it as "partial 16S ribosomal RNA". It matches the Rfam family "Bacterial small subunit ribosomal RNA", at positions 524 to 776 of the family's 1533-position model. The record is from RNAcentral.
UACGGGGGGGGCAAGCGUUGUUCGGAAUUACUGGGCGUAAAGGGCUCGUAGGCGGCCAACUAAGUCAGACGUGAAAUCCCCAGGCUCAACCUGGGAACUGCGUCUGAUACUGGAUGGCUUGAAUCCGGGAGAGGGAUGCAGAAUUCCAGGUGUAGCGGUGAAAUGCGUAGAUAUCUGGAGGAACACCGGUGGCGAAAGCGCCUUGCUGGGUCUGCACUGACACUGAGGGACGAAAGCUAGGGGAGCGAAAGGG